GAACAACAAUAUACAUUAAUUACAUGUCAUUGUUUCGCUGGAACAUCCGACAAAGCACGGGAAACAUCCGACAAAGCACGGGAAAUAGAUGAAUGCUUUAGAAGUUGUUGUGCUAUUUGGUAUACUUCAGCAGCAUUUGUACUGAAUGUUGAUUCCAAACAAAAAGAAUUAAAGGAAAAAAGGUACAAUAACUCAAGUUACCUAUAUAACUCCAUGUGUCAAUACAACCUUUUUCAUGUGUAUGGUGAUGAAUUUCCAUAGAACAAAACAAAAAGGCGAAGACUAUCAAGAAAUAAUCAAUUAAAAAAAGUGACAGGACAACAGGUGAAAGCUACGCUCCAUCCAACUAACUGAACAAAUGAGUGUCAUCCAAAUCUCAAAGCUUACUUGUGUGGUGCAUUUAUUGGCGAAAAAGUUACCUGUACAACCACUCACAACCAUUCCUUAGUCUAAAGCAACAAAUCGGGGAUAAGCGUCACUAUGGAUCUUCUAAAAUGCCACAUACCCAAUCUUUCUUUAGGCCAAGGAUACAUGAGGUCUCUUUGUCCGGAACCACCCUGAGCCUUACUCGCAUGCUACUACUUGGUUGACUGUGAUAUAAUAAAGUGUGUGCAAAAUCAGAAGUACAAGUAUCAUGUUAGAUAUAAAUGAAAUUUCUCAUAUUUGUGUUGUACAAGUAUUCUGUAAGAGGAAAAAUAUAAUCUUGAUGAUAGCGGUCAUACACAUAGUAUUAAGCAAGUAUUUAGAAUUUCAGAUAAUGCAUCCGACACCUGCUAGGCUCUAUGUAAUACAUGGUUGUAAUAGGGAUAUGGUUCAAUGUUAAUGCCUUUUAUUGGCAGACGAUCUGUGUCAAUACCAGCUAAGGGCUUACGCGUCAAUACUGGUUACUCGGUAUAAUGUUCAUAUUAUAUUAAAAUGAUUUUUCCCAUGUGAUGGAAACGCAACACCAAUACUAACCCGCACCAUCUUGAAGAAAAGAUCGCGUCUAAUUUUUCAAUACUUUGUAGAAUAACCAUUAUAAAUGUUGUUGAAUGCAUUGCAAUUAAAAUUAACUAAAUCACUACAAUAUUAUAAAGGAGGUGUGCAAUAACUCACCCGAAGCCUUGACCAUGAAUGAAGGCAACUGAAAUUGUAUUCC
This 1138-nucleotide long non-coding RNA is filed under the name Hordeum vulgare. Its description in RNAcentral is "long non-coding RNA (HVUL_LNC020794)". The record is from RNAcentral. Lineage: Eukaryota; Viridiplantae; Streptophyta; Magnoliopsida; Poales; Poaceae.